CAUAUUGUCAACUCUUCUCUCUCUCUCUUUUGUAUAGUUUAAGUUUUGCUUGAAACCACUCUCUCUUCCUCCAAACCUCCUAAACCACAAAAACAAAAGAAAAACACCAAACUUCCCUCCUCAAAUACUCUUCACCAAUCAACAAAAGAAAAAAAUGGUUGAAUUUCAAAAAAGGCCUUCACAUCUCAUUAUGAUAUCUCUUCUUCUUCUUCUUCUAUUUCUCUUCUUCAUUAUUUAUUAUUGCAAUGGUGCCUCACCAACAUCAUCACCUUCUUCUCUUUCUUCUUCUUAUUAUUUCUCCAAUUAUAACAACCCAACACCAACACCAAUAACAACAAAACCCCAUUUCUAUGGCUUCUUCCCCAAAAGAACUAUUCCAAUUCCUUCUUCAACCCCUUCAAGAAAACACAAUGAUAUUGGCUUCCAGACUUGGCCUUCCUCUCCUUAAUCAUCAUCCCAAAAUUGUUAUAUGUUUUCAAAGGUGGAGAGAGAUGAAAUCAUCAUCAUCACACACAUAUAUAUACAUACUCAUUUGUAUAUAUACCCAUAGAGAGAAUUAAAGACACAAGAAUUCUCCCCUGUGUGGUGUAAUGAACCAGAAGUUUAUGGAAAGUUUUAAGUUUGAGUCUCUGAUCUACUCUUACGAAGAAAAGAGAGAUAAUGUCUAUGAUAAACAUUUUAGUUUUUGUGUUAUGUUGUUUCUAUUAGACAUCAUUCCUAUAAUUUAACCUAAUUAAGUGGAUAAUUCAUUUUGGAGUUUU
Long non-coding RNA from Cucumis melo (muskmelon), 761 nucleotides. RefSeq lists it as uncharacterized. The record is from RefSeq and is a predicted model, not a curated record. NCBI's taxonomy places the organism in Eukaryota, Viridiplantae, Streptophyta, Magnoliopsida, Cucurbitales, Cucurbitaceae. The transcript has 2 exons.